Strigops habroptila (Kakapo) is the source of this 2923-nucleotide long non-coding RNA. The record is from Ensembl. Lineage: Eukaryota; Metazoa; Chordata; Aves; Psittaciformes; Psittacidae.
AAAAGUACUCUGAAUAAUUUUAAUAAACAUUAGGAUCUGAAAUAGCAAGGUAGAGUUUAUAACUAAAGAAAUUUCUGUUCCUAUUAUUUUCUAACAUUUUCAGUGUAAGCAGCAAACCCUAAGAGGAUCAACCAUAUUUUAUGUCAUCAGCAUUUUAUAAGUGCCACAUUUAAGUACUUCACUGAAAAUACCAUGAGUAUGUAUAAAGAUGAAAGGCUUAUGAAUAUAAAUAAAGCUAAGACUCCAACUGCAAACCUUAUCAUUUUCUAAAAUACAUUUUAUUAGAAAUGGCUAAAGAUUCUUGAAUUUUACCUUCUGAGUUCUCAGUUUAUAAUGUACAAAUAAAAAACUAUGCAUUAAAGAAUUAUACAAACUGAAGUAGGACAGAAAAAAAAGGAAAUCAAUAAAUAUCCCAAUGACAAACCAUGACAAUAACAGAGAAGGGUCACUAAAAUUGUGACACAGACCCUAAGAUCACCACCCCAGCCAUCAAAACAUUUAAACAAACUACUUAGUAUUAAUAGCCUUUAUGGAAUAACAAGAACUAUUAAAGUCAGAUUAGUCUACAAACAAGGAAGCCCAAACUUUCAAGAUUGUUGCCUUACUGCCCUCGAGAGUUCACCUCUCCCAUGAAAAAUGGCAAUAUAAAAAUUCUAAAGUACCUCCAUAAGCCCAAAGGAAAGCCUGUGGACAGACAGAUGAUGUGAUAUAUUUCUUCCUUUCCAUUCUUGGGCAGCUUCUUCUCUCUGCGGCUGAAAGCAAAUGCUUUGAGACUCAGUCGCAUAUUUAAUUAGAAGCAAGCUGCUUGCACUAUCACCGUGCGAAUCUACCUCUCCAAUCUCUCGUGAGUCAAUCUUUCCCAUCUCUGAUUUUCUUUUAUAUUUAUGCUAGAAUAUUUAAUUGUAGACAAAAGGUUACUCUGGCUGUAUUCACUGCACAGAGGCAGAAUAAUCUGCUUUAAAAGGCUUGACAUUUCAGGCUUUUCAAAAAGGCUGAAAAAAUUAUAUCCCUGCUUUUGUUAAUCAAUGAAGUAGAACUCUCCUGAACAAAAGAAUUAAAUUGCUUGGUUGGUUUAAUAAAACCAACAGAAAUAGCUGCUUCCUCUGGGCUUUAUUGUGUAGGCAUGGCACACGCAUCCAGCACUGUAAUUCCAUAUGAUUCAGGGGCAAAACUCUAAUUUCUGCACACAGUUGGGUUUUUAAAUCCUAUUCAAACUCUAUCCAUUCUGGUUGGUUCUCUAAGGCCAGAUUUAUCAUUAAACUUGACUUUUUCCUAGGUGCAGCAGCCAUACAGCAAUUUUGGGUUUUGUUAUUCAGCUUUAGGAAAAAAUGUUCAUUAAAAAUGUAUUAAUGUAACUAUUACUUUUACAUAGUUUUAUUUAGCUAAUAGCUAAUAGUUUUACACUUUUGUCAGCUAUUUAAUAACUGCACAAGUAGUUGAGGGUGUGAACAAGUGCCAGCGAGUUUGAUAGGACCAUAUAAACAGUAGUUAGAAAAACCAUAAGCAUCCACCAAGAAAACAUUAUUUUGUUACUGUUAAAUUUUCAGGCAUGAUUUGGUAUUAAUUGGACAUUUUCAGCAAAGGAGUAUCAUUAUUUCUGAAAGACUGUAAAGCAGCUACACGGUUGCUACACUGUCUUGUCCUCUGGACUACUACUUGCCACAAUUUAAUUAAGAGAUACUAUACCUUUACUCAUUGAAUGGUCACCCCAAUAUAUAGUAAGUAGGCCCUUCUGAUGAAAGCAUACUUCAACACCAGCUGUUUUAAAAUAAAUAAAAAGCCCAGAAACUCACUGGCAUGCUACAGAAGCUUUGGACACUUGCUGCAAAAGAUGCAUCUAUUUUCUAUACUGUGUCACUUUCAAGUGACAUCGACAGUGGACAUACUUUCCCAUGCAUACAGAUAUUGAAGGGCCAAAGAGAUGCUUUGGAAAGAUCAGUUAUUUGCCCUGCUAGCCUGUCUAAUAUUACCAGUUGUUUAUUACUCAGCUGUAAGCACACCAUCAUAUAGCUUGAGGACAGAUCAAUAUACCUAUGUUGAUUGCUGUCUUUUCCCCAACUUCAGAGAAGAUCCAUGAAGGUGCAGCAUCUGUCCUACAAUAUAAUUUAAAGGCCGAACUUUGGUUUUUCCAUCUCAGAUUUGUUUUCCCAGAAACAAAGCACUUCUAACUAUAGUUGAAGUGAAGCAACUUGGAUUCCUGCUCAAGGGAAUCAGUACCACUGGCACAUAAGCACAUCUUGGUAAGUUGUAGUUUCCUUGGCUAAAUCCCACUGUAUUUUUCAUGUGAAAAGUAUUGCUAGCAAACUACAUUGUGAUCUUCUGAAAGGAUCAGGCCAUGAUCACAUGAGUCAUUAUUAUACAACUGAUAUAAUCUCCAGAACCCACGGCUGAGAGGUGGGAAAAACUCUGAUGACAAGAGGGGCUUGGGCCCUUACACCUGCCCAUGUUUAUUUGGGGAUUUGAAAUACCAUUACAGAGCACUAUUUAAAAUGUUCAUAAAACAUUUCAGUUAGCAAUGGUGAUUGGAAUGGGGCAUUUGAGAAUAUAUGACUUGGGGGAAAACGUCCUAGCUUGGUGGUAUUUCAUCUCAGUUGUUUUAGUCUUUGAAGAAAUGUUGACAUGGUAUUCCAAAGCAUUACAAGUAGUACUGGAAGCACGCACAUUACCCAGACUCCUUUUCAUGCAGACGAAUCUCAGACUUUACUUUUUUCUGUGGUUAUGUAUAAUGGAAGGGAAUUGUGCCUAUAAAAGUAAAUUUACUAUACAUAUAUACAAUUCAUAUAUACAAUGAAAAAAACUGAAUUAAGAAGCAUAAUGAGUACUGACAGAAAAAUCAGUAUUAUAUUCAACUUUAGACUUAAAGCAAACGACACUGUAAUACAGUGUGUUUAGCUUGUUCACACUUGCAAUGCAUGUUUUAUAC